GGUCUGUGCAGACAGCCAAUAAAGGCUAAUAUGAUUUUACACACAAAUGAAUCAUUUCAAGGAAUGAAUUGCCCCGAACAAGCCUGGACGUGGCCACGCUCCUGUCCUGAGGAGCAGGGGGAGGCAUUCCCUGCUGAUCCACAGAGAGCUCAAUUAAGGAAGAGAAGUCCUGGUUUUUGCAGGCUGAGCCUGUGGGUUUGCAGCCCUUGGCUCAGGCAGUAAGGCCAAUGUCAAGAGCCUGACUGGCCCCAGGCACAGUGCAAGGCUGGGUGGCCCAGGCUCUCUCACCCUUGCUCUGACACUGGAGGCUGUGUGGCCUUGGAGAAUUUAUGCUUCCUCUCAGUGCCCCUCUUAAAACAAGGAUCCUGACACUGUGUUCCUUUGUAAAAAUGCCCUCGGAGCUCACAAAGAGAAGUGCUGCAUCACAGAGAGUUAUUGCUCCAUCUCAUUCCUUCCCUGCCCUGCUCAGGUAAUAUCUGAGCAUCUCCUAGACCUGCACCAGGCAAUAUGACUCAUGUCUCUCAUAUGUGGCUCCUCUACGAUCCCCAAAGGGGAAAUGAGAUUCAGAGUAAAACCCACCUUUCCACAACCUCAGUAUUGCCUCUGCUGUGCUGAGACCUCCUUGUCUCCCUACAAGGCACCUACUCACCAGCACCAGGCAUGGAUGGAGCCUGCAGCACAACAGUUAACGUGCCCUAGGCCUGGAAAAACCAGCACAAGCUCCAGAUGGAUCAGGAAGGCACCCCAGACUGCCAGGAGAGGCUCACUCUGCUACGUCCCCACUCGGACCUGACUGAGAAACAACAACUCCUGAGUGGUUUGCUCCAAGCUGAUAAGACAGAAAUAGUCCUGUAUCUCACCAAGAAAUCACCACUGUUGGACUGAUGGACAGGGAACAACCCUGGUAGCCUUUCAUUGAAAUGGAGUUACUGGUGCACAUGAUGAAAAGCCUGGGAACACAUCCUGUUGGAACAGCCACCUGCUGAAGUCCCACAUGCUGAAGCAGGGAAGGAAGCAGGAUGAGGAUAGUUUGGUCCUGGAAAUGUAAUGGAGUGAGAGCUCUGCUUCAGACACACAACCACAGAUGGGUCUUACACACUUGUGUGUGGAGCAGCCCCUUUUCCCUGGAUAGCUGCAGAGUUCAGAGGUGGGAACUGGCCAUCUCCUGGCAGCCAAACCCACUGAAGCCAAGAACACCCCUGGCUUCAGUGAGCGCUGGCUCAAGCUUUCUAUAUUUCAGAUAUGAGUGGCUUUAAGCUGUUUUUCACAGUCUGUGUAUUGUUUCUCUUGCUCAAAUAAUUUAGCUUUAACCUGAGGCUGUGGGCUCAAUCCUUGCUGUCAAAGCCCAGUGUGUAGCUUUGCAUGCAGCUCCUGAGGGGAUGCGGGAGUACAGCAUGAAUCUCCUGGCUCCUUCAAAGUCUUGCAGAGCUGCUUUAUGUGUGUAGAAACAGGCAUAAAUAAAAAUAAAUCUGACAGGCUUUAGUCUGUGUU
Long non-coding RNA from Pseudopipra pipra, 1491 nucleotides. RefSeq lists it as uncharacterized. The record is from RefSeq and is a predicted model, not a curated record. The transcript is spliced from 3 exons. Lineage: Eukaryota; Metazoa; Chordata; Aves; Passeriformes; Pipridae.